Molecule: ribosomal RNA, 377 nt
Filed under: uncultured cyanobacterium
Lineage: Bacteria; Bacillati; Cyanobacteriota
Description: bacterial SSU rRNA
Rfam family: Bacterial small subunit ribosomal RNA
Source: RNAcentral
CGAAAGCCUGACGGAGCAAGACCGCGUGCGGGAUGACGGCCUAAUGGUUGUAAACCGCUUUUCUCUGGGAAGAAGAUGACGGUACCCGAGGAAUAAGCCUCGGCUAACUCCGUGCCAGCAGCCGCGGUAAUACGGAGGAGGCAAGCGUUAUCCGGAAUUAUUGGGCGUAAAGCGUUCGCAGGUGGCCGUUCAAGUCCGCUGUCAAAGACCGAGGCUUAACUUCGGGCAGGCAGUGGAAACUGAAAGGCUAGAGUGCGGUCGGGGUAGGGGGAAUUCCCAGUGUAGCGGUGAAAUGCGUAGAGAUUGGGAAGAACACCGGUGGCGAAAGCGCCCUGCUAGGCCGCAACUGACACUCAGGGACGAAAGCUAGGGGAGCG